Molecule: ribosomal RNA, 449 nt
Filed under: uncultured bacterium
Lineage: Bacteria
Description: partial 16S ribosomal RNA
Rfam family: Bacterial small subunit ribosomal RNA
Source: RNAcentral
AAUGAACGCUGGCGGCAGGCUUAACACAUGCAAGUCGAGCGGGCCCGCAAGGGUCAGCGGCGGACGGGUUAGUAACGCGUGGGAACGUGCCUUUUGCUUCGGAAUAGCCCUGGGAAACUGGGGGUAAUACCGGAUGUGCCCUGAGGGGGCAAGAUUUAUCGGCAAGAGAUCGGCCCGCGUUGGAUUAGGUAGUUGGUGGGGUAACGGCCCACCAAGCCGACGAUCCAUAGCUGGUUUGAGAGGAUGAUCAGCAAAACUGGGACGGAGACACGGCCCAGACUCCUACGGGAGGCAGCAGUGGGGAAUCUUAGACAAUGGGCGCAAGCCUGAUCUAGCCAUGCCGCGUGGGUGAUGAAGGCCUUAGGGUCGUAAAGCCCUUUCGCCGGGGAAGAUAAUGACGGUACCCGGUAAAGAAACCCCGGCUAACUCCGUGCCAGCAGCCGCCGUAA